RNAcentral lists this long non-coding RNA (254 nucleotides) under Theobroma cacao (cacao). RNAcentral's name for it is "long non-coding RNA (TCAC_LNC002455)". The record is from RNAcentral. Lineage: Eukaryota; Viridiplantae; Streptophyta; Magnoliopsida; Malvales; Malvaceae.
CUUAAGGUAAGUUUAGAGUUCACUUCACGUCGAACCAUCACGUGAGGAUGAAACUCAGUCAACGCCAAUGAAUGACUAUAUUUUAAAAAUAAAAACAUGUUUUAUGGGUAUAUGUCGUUUUAACAUCCUUGGCGGACUCGAUUGGAUGCUCGGGCCAAGGUGUUACCAAGUAUGAGUUUUGGCAUAAGUCAAGUUUUUAAGAGAAUCAUAAGCCUUGUUGAUUAUUUUGAUGAAAUGUAAUUGUUUUAUAGGAA